This 265-nucleotide ribosomal RNA is filed under the name uncultured bacterium. RNAcentral describes it as "partial 16S ribosomal RNA". It matches the Rfam family "Bacterial small subunit ribosomal RNA", at positions 334 to 591 of the family's 1533-position model. The record is from RNAcentral.
UACACCUACGGGACGCAGCAGUAGGGAAUCUUCCACAAUGGACGAAAGUCUGAUGGAGCAACGCCGCGUGAGUGAAGAAGGGUUUCGGCUCGUAAAGCUCUGUUGGUAGUGAAGAAAGAUAGAGGUAGUAACUGGCCCUUAUUUGACGGUAAUUACUUAGAAAGUCACGGCUAACUACGUGCCAGCAGCCGCGGUAAUACGUAGGUGGCAAGCGUUGUCCGGAUUUAUUGGGCGUAAAGCGAGUGCAGGCGGUUCAAUAAGGUUG